CGUGGGGAGACGCCGGCCUGACUCGCGCUCAGAGAGGUCUUGGCUUGCUUACACUACAGGGAAGCCAGUGGAGUCUCCACCAUGGCUGUCCCCAUCUCCGUGUGGAACACUGAUGAUGAUGGCUGAUGGCUGAGCGUGCGCAUCUAUCUCUUCCCCUCCUGAGAGCUGAGGAACCACAACAAUGAAGCAGCAUCCCAGUGUUGUCUCACCACUUCGGGGAUUUGCCAGGCCUGAUGACACCCCUGGUGACACCGACGGCAACCCCCAGUGGCGUUCCUACUGUGUGACCUUCCCCCCUCAAGCCCCGCACCCUGAGUUUUUGGGACGCUUUCCUGUCAUCUCAGCAAGGGGUACACGUCCUCCAGAUAAGCUACGCAGCUCCCGGCAGUGGGGCUGAGCCUCGGGCACGCACAGUGGUGGGGACGUGCCGGGUCUGAUGGCGCGCCAGCACUACUGAAGGCCUCCCCUGUGAACCACCUCAACACCUCUGACUACACCCCACCCGCCACCCUCACAAGGCGACGGGACUCACCUACCACAGAACAACCCCGAUUAUGACAGACACUCGUCGAGAGCCUUCUGACACUUGUGUGCCAUGGUGUGUCAUAUUGUAUAUUAUGUUAUAUUAUAUAUUAUUAUAGGAUGUGAUCUCCGUAUCCACAGCAGCACGGGUGGUUUUCCUCCAGGAGCUCCCAGUUUCCACCCAGAAGACAUCUCUGCUGUCUGUGGUUACAAUAUAUAUUGUAUAAUUCACUUCCUUGUGUAAAUAUCAGUAGUAAAACGUAUUGUAAUAUAUUACAUAUGUAUCCUCCCCCUACCUUCUCACUCUUCCACAGCAGUACGGGUGGUUUUCCUCCAGGAACACAGGUUUCCACCAUUGACCCAACAUGUACUGCCCUGUGAACUUUCACUGUACAGCAGCAGGCCGGUCCGCCCGGCAACUUUCUACUCCUACUUUAUUUCUAUAUUUCCCCACUUUUUCUUCCCGUGUGCCAGCCAAGGUACACUCCCCCCCACUCUUAUGUAACCAAUCUUUUCUAAAUAAACUUUGUAAACUUUGUUACUGAUAGUGUGCAGCAUCGCAUCGAUCUCGAACCUAAUACAUGUCCUAUUUAUAUACCUUCUUAUCGUUUGCCUCACUCCCAGCGACAAGUUGAACAUAACUUAAUCCAAGAAAUGCUUAAUGAAGGUAUUAUUCAGGAGUCAUAUCCUCCAUGGAACCCCAAUUUUCAUGUUGCCAAAGAAGGACGGAUCUUAUCGUGCAGUAGUAGACUUUCGACGAGUCAUUGCUGUCAUUCAACCAGACCAUUACCCUCUUACUGUCUUGUCAGACCUUUUAGAAUGUAUAGGCAAAGGCAAUUCUGUCUUCACGACUUUAGACCUUAAGAGUUGUUUCUGGCAGAUCCCCUUGUCUACUGACAGCCGUUCUAUCACUGCUUUUUCUACACCUACAGUCAGCGGCUCCGUUGCCCCAUGGGACUUUGUAAUUGUGAGGAGUCAGGCGGAGCUAGACGCAUCGUGAUGUUCAGCUGCUUAGCAGCUGCUUAGCAUUCAGUGGUUGGGAGGAAUAAGAUCCAUCCUAAAUUUGCAGAAGAGGUCUGGAUAAUUGUAGAAGUGCUGGAUAAGGUUAGUGGGGUAUAUCGGGUGAGACCAGAGGAUGAACAAGGUUAUGAGAAAGUGCUACAUAGGAGUAAUCUGAGACCCUUGAGAGCAGGGUAUUGUGAGGGUUCAUCUGAACAGCAACAACAGAACAAGAGGCCUCAGCAUGUAGAGGACAGGCAAAUUUCAGAGGAAGAUGAGGAGGGAAAGCAAGUAGAAGAGGUGGAGGAAAACGGGAAUGAUUUGACCACAAUACCCGAGUGUGAGGAGAUAGAAGAAGAAGCAGGUCAGGAGAGGGAGGAGGAUCAAGUGAUUAGGCCGGAGUGUGAACAGGCUGGGGAGGAAGCAAGUCAGAAAAAGGAGACUAAGGAAGUAGUGGGGUCAGAAAGAAGAGAACCUGCGAGAUUGAGGCGGUCUCUUAGGCUUGCAGAGCAAGAAAGGAAAGAUGGAAAUAGGUGUCUUGUGUACGAUGGAUGUGCGCGAGGGCACGCACAAAGUUUGAGGGGCUGAGUGUGAGGAGUCAGGCGGAGCUAGACGCAUCGUGAUGUUCAGCUGCUUAGCGUGGGGUUUGAUGGGAAGUGUUUGCUUUGGAACGAGAGAGAUUUUGGCGCGGAACACAGAUACUUGAGGCGUUGUUUUAGAGGUCUGGAUUGUGUGGCUUUGUCAGCAUAGCAGGUAUGUGAUAGUGUAUUUCAGUGUGAAGAUAUUGUUGGGCAAAGCGUUGGAUGUUAAUGAAAUGUAAGGAGCGGAAGAGAGGAUGAUUAGAGUGCACCAUGGGUGUGUUGCAGGAGUUUCACGGUGAUGCUUAAGGACCGUAGCCGCAGUCGUCUUCACCAGUGUGUGCCUGGCUACUGGAAGAGUGGUGUAGUGUGUGGCCAUCCUGAGCCCUAUCAGUUUGUGGUGACAAGAGGGAGACGCCUGUCAUCACUCAGCAGGGGACCAGAAGCGUUCGUGUGAACGAGGGUUACCGGUCGUGUCCUGCAACUGGAAAUUUCGAGGUGUAUAAGUUUCAUUUAGUUAUUUCUUUUUUUCUUUUUCUUGUGAGUUUACACGAGUUGUGUAUUGAUUUAUUUUGAUAUCCAUUAAAGUGUUAUUUGUA
Long non-coding RNA from Scylla paramamosain (green mud crab), 2698 nucleotides. RefSeq lists it as uncharacterized. NCBI's taxonomy places the organism in Eukaryota, Metazoa, Arthropoda, Malacostraca, Decapoda, Portunidae. The record is from RefSeq and is a predicted model, not a curated record. The transcript has 2 exons.